UACGUAGGAUGCGAGCGUUAUCCGGAAUCAUUGGGCGUAAAGCGUCCGCAGGUGGAACGGUGUGUCGAGUGUUAAAUACCAGUGCUCAACAUUGGUGCCACACUCGAAACUGCCGAUCUAGAGGAUGGGAGAGGCAAACAGAAUUCCCGGUGUAGGGGUAAAAUCCGUAGAUAUCGGGAGGAAUACCAAAAGCGAAGGCAGUUUGCUGGAACAUUCCUGACACUCAUGGACGAAAGCGUGGGGAGCGAAAAGG
This 253-nucleotide ribosomal RNA is filed under the name uncultured bacterium. RNAcentral's name for it is "partial 16S ribosomal RNA". It matches the Rfam family "Bacterial small subunit ribosomal RNA", at positions 524 to 776 of the family's 1533-position model. The record is from RNAcentral.